UAGAAUUGUUUCUGUCUCACUGUGGUUGU
RNAcentral lists this non-coding RNA (29 nucleotides) under Mus musculus (house mouse). Lineage: Eukaryota; Metazoa; Chordata; Mammalia; Rodentia; Muridae. The record is from RNAcentral.